RNAcentral lists this ribosomal RNA (120 nucleotides) under Scophthalmus maximus (turbot). The record is from RNAcentral. Lineage: Eukaryota; Metazoa; Chordata; Actinopteri; Pleuronectiformes; Scophthalmidae.
GCUUACGGCCACACCGCCCUGGUUCACGCCCGAUUCGUUUGAUCUCGGAAGCUAAGAUAGGUUGGGCCUGGUUAGUACUUGGAUGGGAGAACCGCCUGGGAUUACCAGGUGCUGUAAGUU